Long non-coding RNA from Aphidius gifuensis, 144 nucleotides. RefSeq lists it as uncharacterized. NCBI's taxonomy places the organism in Eukaryota, Metazoa, Arthropoda, Insecta, Hymenoptera, Braconidae. The transcript has 2 exons. The record is from RefSeq and is a predicted model, not a curated record.
AGAAACGUAUUAAUAAAUAAAUAUAAUUUCAAAAUUUUCAAAUACGAGAUGACCACGAAGAUUCAUAUUCUAUGAAUCAUCCUCAUCACCUUGAUCAUCUUGAGUAACUAUUCUGUACUGGGCUGGCCAAGAAGUCGCUGGACG